RNAcentral lists this small nuclear RNA (319 nucleotides) under Castor canadensis (American beaver). RNAcentral describes it as "7SK RNA (ENSCCNG00000000747.1)". It matches the Rfam family "7SK RNA". From Rfam's summary of the family: 7SK was discovered as an abundant small nuclear RNA in the mid-70s but a possible function has only recently been suggested. Two independent studies have found that 7SK RNA binds the CDK9/cyclin T complex (known as elongation factor P-TEFb). Lineage: Eukaryota; Metazoa; Chordata; Mammalia; Rodentia; Castoridae. The record is from Rfam by way of RNAcentral.
GGAUGUGAGGGCGAUCUGGCUGCGACAUCUGUCACCCCAUUGAUCGCCAGGGUUGAUUCGGUUGAUCUGGCUGGCUAGGCGGGUGUCCCCUUCCUCUCUCACCGCUCCAUGUGCGUCCCUCCCAAAGCUGCGCGCUCGGUCGAAGAGGACGACCAUCCCUGAUAGAGGAGGACCGUUCUUCGGUCAAGGGUAUACGAGUAGCUGCGCUCCCCUGCUAGAACCUCCAAACAAGCUCUCAAGAAACAUUAUAAUCACAUAAUUAAUCUCUAGGAAAUGUUUAAAAAGCAUUAUUAAGAUUUUUCUUAGUAAAAUAUGGUUU